Molecule: small RNA, 77 nt
Filed under: Arabidopsis thaliana (thale cress)
Lineage: Eukaryota; Viridiplantae; Streptophyta; Magnoliopsida; Brassicales; Brassicaceae
Description: ATSL113520
Source: RNAcentral
UAAGAAUAUAUAAGAGACGGUGGAAUUUGGAAAGUUUCAACUGUUCUUUCUUCGUUUCUUGCUUUCCGCGUUCGUCA